This is a long non-coding RNA of Cervus elaphus (red deer), 646 nucleotides long. RefSeq lists it as uncharacterized. Lineage: Eukaryota; Metazoa; Chordata; Mammalia; Artiodactyla; Cervidae. The record is from RefSeq and is a predicted model, not a curated record. The transcript has 5 exons.
CUGGCACUGAGGCAGCUCUCUGAGUACUUUCCCCCUAAGAUGACUGGGAUAGAUUCCAGACAUGGAGUUACUUUAUCAAAGUCUUUUUACAGCAAAUGUUUUUCCAAGAGUUUAUAUAAAUUUUCAGAACCAUCAAGAUAUAUGUUAGUACUCAUUUUACUACAUUCUCACCAGCACCAAAUAAAACAGCAAUCACAAAAAUAACUUUGCCAAUCAGCAACAUGGAUGGACCCUAGAAAUUACCAUACUAAGUGAAGAUGAUUCAGUGCUGAAAGCAAAUAAAAAUCAAGUUCUCGUACAUGAUGACAACUGGCUCCCUCUAUUGAACCGUGGUGAGGAAACUAAGGACCAAGAUGGGAGCUGCAAACUGAAGCCUCAGGGACAGAGAGAUCUGGACAGAAUCGCUGGACAGGUGGCAGCUGCCAACAAGAAGCAUUAGUUAAUAAAUUGCCUCAUUCAUUAAAAAAAAAAAAUCAAGUUCUCAACACAGAAAAUAUCUUCUAAUUUUUUCAACAUUUUGUUUACUUCUAUCAAACUUAGAAAAAGUAGUUUGGCAUCCACUCUAAGUCCAGUUAACCCUUUGUUUGAUUCUUCACACUUGAGUAAGACCCAUCUUCCUUUGGUACAUUUCCAUUAGGGGCAUUGU